This 567-nucleotide ribosomal RNA is filed under the name uncultured archaeon. Its description in RNAcentral is "bacterial SSU rRNA". It matches the Rfam family "Archaeal small subunit ribosomal RNA", at positions 326 to 897 of the family's 1478-position model. The record is from RNAcentral.
CGGGGUGCAGCAGGCGCGAAAACUUUACAAUGCUGGAAACAGCGAUAAGGGGACCUCGAGUGCCAGGUUACAAAUCUGGCUGUCGUGAUGCCUAAAAAGCAUUGCAUAGCAAGGGCCGGGCAAGACCGGUGCCAGCCGCCGCGGUAACACCGGCGGCUCGAGUGGUAACCGUUAUUAUUGGGUCUAAAGGGUCUGUAGCCGGCCGGAUAAGUCUCUUGGGAAAUCCAGCAGCUCAACUGUCAGGCUUUCAGGAGAUACUGUCUGGCUCGAGGCCGGGAGAGGUGAGAGGUACUUCAGGGGUAGGGGUGAAAUCUUGUAAUCCUUGAAGGACCACCAGUGGCGAAGGCGUCUCACCAGAACGGACCUGACGGCAAGGGACGAAAGCUAGGGGCACGAACCGGAUUAGAUACCCGGGUAGUCCUAGCCGUAAACGAUACUCGCUAGGUGUCGGCCACGGUGCGACCGUUGUCGGUGCCGUAGGGAAGCCGUGAAGCGAGCCACCUGGGAAGUACGGCCGCAAGGCUGAAACUUAAAGGAAUUGGCGGGGGAGCACAAGGGCGAAUCGCG